AAUUCGCUGUUAUUGUAGUGAGGAAUUCUCCCCGAUUUCGAUAGGAAUUCUUCUUACAGGAAUAGGAGACUAUAAACUGUUCGCCUUGAAUCUCGAAUUCGUAAAUAAUUCUUAGAGAAUUCACUGUGAUUUCUCUCUUUCACGCUGGUAUUGUAUUUUAAAGUAAUUUUAGCUGCCACAUUCAAAUCUUUCCUCAUGGGAAGGAGACGACUUUUUCAGUUGAGUGCUCGCCACAAAAGAAGACUUGUAAAAAAACCAAAUGAAAUUUUCGAGGAAAAUUUAAAUAGUGACCUAGUCCAGGCCGAAGGGGAAAACAUUUAUUCAGAACAAGUGUUCGAGGAAGAUCUGGAAGAAAUUGAAGUCGGAAGUAACACGAGUGAAGUAAGUUCAGCUGAAACAAUUAGCUCAGAGAGUGAAGGUGAAAUUGAUACUUUUGAUAUAAGACAUAGUAUCCAAAAUUAGUCCAAGAUUGAAAAAUUGAAAUCUGCUGGUGGAUCUGAGGUGGCUACCGUGGUCGAGAGCAUUCUCAAGAAGCUGAUGACCGAUGAUUUGCAAGCUAAGUAUAGUCUUUACGGAGAAAAGGGAAAGAACUCUUUAGUGAAAGUUAAGGGGUUAAGACAACUCAUUAAAGAUGCGGUAGCAGCUCACCCUAGGACUCCAAAUUAUCCAGACGAGGGCACAGUUGACGAGGAAAUUCAAAAAUCCCUUAAGAAAGUCGCAGAUAGAGUUGGGAAGCGUAUGAGGAAGUGACUUGACUUCGCGGCCAAUUUCACUACCCGGUUCAUCUGAUUAUUCAACUUAUAUUUAUUUUAAUAAAAAGUUAUUUAUAUUGCAUAAUAUUUAGAAGAAGUAAAAUAAACUAUAAACGGAAUUAUGUAA
This is a long non-coding RNA of Folsomia candida, 879 nucleotides long. RefSeq lists it as uncharacterized. The transcript is spliced from 3 exons. The record is from RefSeq and is a predicted model, not a curated record. NCBI's taxonomy places the organism in Eukaryota, Metazoa, Arthropoda, Collembola, Entomobryomorpha, Isotomidae.